RNAcentral lists this ribosomal RNA (465 nucleotides) under uncultured Klebsiella sp. RNAcentral describes it as "bacterial SSU rRNA". It matches the Rfam family "Bacterial small subunit ribosomal RNA", at positions 338 to 795 of the family's 1533-position model. The record is from RNAcentral. Lineage: Bacteria; Pseudomonadati; Pseudomonadota; Gammaproteobacteria; Enterobacterales; Enterobacteriaceae.
CCUACGGGAGGCAGCAGUGGGGAAUAUUGCACAAUGGGCGCAAGCCUGAUGCAGCCAUGCCGCGUGUGUGAAGAAGGCCUUCGGGUUGUAAAGCACUUUCAGCGGGGAGGAAGGCGUUAAGGUUAAUAACCUUGGCGAUUGACGUUACCCGCAGAAGAAGCACCGGCUAACUCCGUGCCAGCAGCCGCGGUAAUACGGAGGGUGCAAGCGUUAAUCGGAAUUACUGGGCGUAAAGCGCACGCAGGCGGUCUGUCAAGUCGGAUGUGAAAUCCCCGGGCUCAACCUGGGAACUGCAUUCGAAACUGGCAGGCUAGAGGCCUGGAGAGGGGGGUAGAAUUCCAGGUGGAGCGGGUAAAUGCGUAGAGAUUUGGAGGAAUACCGGGGGCGAAGGCGGCCCCCUGGACAAAGAAUGACGGCCAGGUUCCAAAGCGGUGGGAGCAAACCGGAUUAGAUACCCUGGUAGUC